AGCAGCAGCCGCGGUAAUACGUAGGGUGCGAGCGUUAAUCGGAAUUACUGGGCGUAAAGCGUGCGCAGGCGGUUUUGUAAGACAGAGGUGAAAUCCCCGGGCUCAACCUGGGAACUGCCUUUGUGACUGCAAGGCUAGAGUACGGCAGAGGGGGAUGGAAUUCCGCGUGUAGCAGUGAAAUGCGUAGAUAUGCGGAGGAACACCGAUGGCGAAGGCAAUCCCCUGGGCCUGUACUGACGCUCAUGCACGAAAGCGUGGGGAGCAAACAGGAUUAGAGACCCCCGUAGUCCCUGUCUCUUAUAA
RNAcentral lists this ribosomal RNA (303 nucleotides) under uncultured bacterium. Its description in RNAcentral is "partial 16S ribosomal RNA". It matches the Rfam family "Bacterial small subunit ribosomal RNA", at positions 507 to 809 of the family's 1533-position model. The record is from RNAcentral.